RNAcentral lists this ribosomal RNA (252 nucleotides) under uncultured bacterium. RNAcentral's name for it is "partial 16S ribosomal RNA". It matches the Rfam family "Bacterial small subunit ribosomal RNA", at positions 524 to 776 of the family's 1533-position model. The record is from RNAcentral.
UACGUAAGGUCCGAGCGUUGUCCGGAAUCAUUGGGCGUAAAGGGUACGUAGGCGGAUAAGCAAGUUAGAAGUGAAAUCCUAUAGCUCAACUAUAGUAAGCUUUUAAAACUGCUCAUCUUGAGGUAUGGAGGGGAAAGUGGAACUCCUAGUGUAGUGGUGAAAAGCGCAGAUAUUAGGAGGAAUACCGGUGGCGAAGGCGACUUUCUGGCCAUUUUUUGACGCUGAGGUACGAAAGCGUGGGUAGCAAACAGG